Molecule: ribosomal RNA, 510 nt
Filed under: uncultured bacterium
Lineage: Bacteria
Description: bacterial SSU rRNA
Rfam family: Bacterial small subunit ribosomal RNA
Source: RNAcentral
GAUCCUGGCUCAGGAUGAACGCUAGCGGCAGGCUUAACACAUGCAAGUCGAGGGGCAGCGGGAUGUAGCAAUACAUUGCCGGCGACCGGCGGAUGGGUGCGUAACGCGUAUGCAACCUACCUUAUACAGGGGAAUAACCUUUCGAAAGGGAGACUAACACCCCAUAGUAUUGAUUUAAGGCAUCUUAGAUUAAUUAAAUAUUUAUAGGUAUAAGAUGGGCAUGCGUAUGAUUAGCUAGUUGGUAAGGUAACGGCUUACCAAGGCGACGAUCAUUAGGGGUUCUGAGAGGAAGGUCCCCCACACUGGUACUGAGACACGGACCAGACUCCUACGGGAGGCAGCAGUGAGGAAUAUUGGUCAAUGGGCGCAAGCCUGAACCAGCCAUGCCGCGUGCCAGGAAGACGGCCUUAUGGGUUGUAAACUGCUUUACAUAAGACUAACCGUAUAUUUGCGAAUAUACCUGAAUGUAUUAUGAGAAUAAGGAUCGGCUAACUCCGUGCCAGCCGCUGC